AUGGACAACACCGCCGUCGCCAGCUACUCGGUCCCCAGGGGAAGCCAGGUCGUCCUGAGCCGCAUCGGCCUCGGGCGGAACCCCAGGGUGUGGGCUGGCCCUCUCGGGUUCUGGCCAGAGCGGCACCUGGCCGGUGACGACGCCACUGUGGCGCUCAGCGAGCCGGAGCUGCGGUUCGUGUCCUUCAGCACCGGGCGGCGGGGCUGCCCCGGGAUCGCGCCGGGCACCCUCUUCACCGUCAUGCUGUUCGCGCGGCUCCUGCAGAGGUUCACCUGGAGCUUGCCGCCCGGCGUGGAUGGCGUGUGCCCAAGAUCCUCUCCUACCUGGGAUUCGACGCGGAGCAGAAGCUCCUUUGAGAGCGAGGCCGACGAGCCGGUGAAGCUCCUUGAGAGCUGGAGAUCCGCAUCAGCCUGGAGCUGA
RNAcentral lists this ribosomal RNA (420 nucleotides) under Triticum aestivum (bread wheat). RNAcentral describes it as "partial small subunit ribosomal RNA". The record is from RNAcentral. Lineage: Eukaryota; Viridiplantae; Streptophyta; Magnoliopsida; Poales; Poaceae.